UAUAUUAAUUAGAUCUAUAGUUAUUUUUUUCUACAUGCUCAACGGACUUAUAUGGAGGAUCAAUUGGUGUAGUAACUGAUUACUAAAAGCAUCUACAUCAGAUUGUUUGAGCUUGGAUGCAAGAUUUUGGACGAAACGGCGUUUGAUUUUGUACGAGCAUGAGCCGCAAGAAAGGUACAGACGCCGGUGAUCCACCACUGUAGGCUCCACGUCCUGCUAUUACAGAGUGCUCCUUUUGAUUCGGAGCCCAUAUAUCGGCAGAUAUCUUUUGGGAUGUGUAUGUAUCUGUAUAUUCGACUAUUUGGGGUACGGCGGGGCCCUGUCCCGUCAUAUGUUUUCGUUUUGUAUAUGUAGAGGCCUGUAGUCAUAUAUGUGGGUCGAGGGUCCUAUAUGUGUCUGUUUGAUUACGAUCUGUGUCUUAAUGCGGUCCGUCUGUUAUGGUGGCCAAAAUGGCCCUUAUGUUUAUAUUUGUACACAUGAUCGGCGAUGUGCAUUCCGCCGCUUCUAUCUGUUCCGUUAUGAUAUUUUGGUAUGCACGACCGCUUAAGACAAGUUUUGAUUUAAAUUAUGUUUAAAAUAACUAUUGUGAACUCUGAGCUAAGUUGGAUAUGAUAAUUGGAUAUGUAAGUCUGUCUGGGUGCCCAAGUAGGGUGCCAGUCAUGGCCCACGGGGCUGGGUCGUGACAAAAGUGGUAUCAGAGCGGUUUGU
Molecule: long non-coding RNA, 708 nt
Organism: Lycium barbarum (goji berry)
Lineage: Eukaryota; Viridiplantae; Streptophyta; Magnoliopsida; Solanales; Solanaceae
Exons: 3
Source: RefSeq, a predicted model, not a curated record